GUGGGGAAUCUUCCGCAAUGGACGAAAGUCUGACGGAGCAACGCCGCGUGAGUGAAGAAGGUUUUCGGAUCGUAAAGCUCUUUCGUUAGGGACGAACGUGCUCUUUGUGAAUAAUGAGGAGUAAUGACGGUACCUAAAUAAGAAGCCACGGUUAACUACGUGCCAGCAGCCGCGGUAAUACGUAGGUGGCAAGCGUUGUCCGGAAUUAUUGGGCGUAAAGCGCGCGCAGGCGGGAUAUCAAGUCUGUCUUAAAAGUGCGAGGCUCAACCUCGUGAGGGGACAGAAACUGGUAUUCUUGAGUGUCGGAGAGGAAAGUGGAAUUCCAAGUGUAGCGGUGAAAUGCGUAGAGAUUUGGAAGAACACCAGUGGCGAAGGCGACUUUCUGGACGAUGUCUGACGCUGAGGCGCGAAAGCUAGGGGAGCGAACGGGAUUAGAUACCCUGGUAGUCC
RNAcentral lists this ribosomal RNA (450 nucleotides) under uncultured bacterium. RNAcentral describes it as "partial 16S ribosomal RNA". It matches the Rfam family "Bacterial small subunit ribosomal RNA", at positions 354 to 796 of the family's 1533-position model. The record is from RNAcentral.